RNAcentral lists this ribosomal RNA (402 nucleotides) under uncultured bacterium. RNAcentral describes it as "bacterial SSU rRNA". It matches the Rfam family "Bacterial small subunit ribosomal RNA", at positions 355 to 774 of the family's 1533-position model. The record is from RNAcentral.
UGGGGAAUUUUGCGCAAUGGGGGAAACCCUGACGCAGCAACGCCGCGUGCGGGAUGACGGCCUUCGGGUUGUAAACCGCUUUCAGCAGGGAAGAUAGUGACGGUACCUGCAGAAGAAGCUCCGGCUAACUACGUGCCAGCAGCCGCGGUAAUACGUAGGGAGCAAGCGUUAUCCGGAUUCAUUGGGCGUAAAGAGCACGUAGGCGGUAACCUAAGUCAGAUGUGAAAGACCAGGGCUUAACUCUGGGGUUGCAUACGAAACUGGGUAACUAGAGUGCAGGAGAGGAAAGUGGAAUUCCUAGUGUAGCGGUGAAAUGCGUAGAUAUUAGGAGGAACACCAGUGGCGAAGGCGGCUUUCUGGACUGUAACUGACGCUGAGGUGCGAAAGCCAGGGGAGCGAACG